This 72-nucleotide transfer RNA is filed under the name Kiritimatiellia bacterium. RNAcentral describes it as "Kiritimatiellae bacterium (aquatic metagenome) tRNA-Glu". It matches the Rfam family "tRNA". Rfam says of the family: Transfer RNA (tRNA) molecules are approximately 80 nucleotides in length. The record is from RNAcentral. Lineage: Bacteria; Pseudomonadati; Kiritimatiellota; Kiritimatiellia.
GCCCCCUUCGUCUAUCGGCUAGGACAUCGGGUUCUCAUCCCGGAAAGAGGGGUUCGAUUCCCCUAGGGGGUG